This 253-nucleotide ribosomal RNA is filed under the name uncultured bacterium. RNAcentral describes it as "partial 16S ribosomal RNA". It matches the Rfam family "Bacterial small subunit ribosomal RNA", at positions 524 to 776 of the family's 1533-position model. The record is from RNAcentral.
UACGUAGGGGGCAAGCGUUGUCCGGAUUUAUUGGGCGUAAAGCGCGUGUAGGCGGCCAGAAAAGUCCGCUGUGAAAACUCGAGGCUCAACUUCGAGCUGUCGGUGGAAACUUUCUGGCUAGAGUCCGGAAGAGGAGAAUGGAAUUCCUGGUGUAGCGGUGAAAUGCGCAGAUAUCGUCAAGAACACCGAUAGCGAAGGCAGCUUACCAAGCUCUAACUGACACUGAUGCACGAAAGUGUGGGGAUCAAACAGG